Molecule: ribosomal RNA, 1453 nt
Filed under: Staphylococcus aureus
Lineage: Bacteria; Bacillati; Bacillota; Bacilli; Caryophanales; Staphylococcaceae
Description: bacterial SSU rRNA
Rfam family: Bacterial small subunit ribosomal RNA
Source: RNAcentral
UUUAUGGAGAGUUUGAUCCUGGCUCAGGAUGAACGCUGGCGGCGUGCCUAAUACAUGCAAGUCGAGCGAACGGACGAGAAGCUUGCUUCUCUGAUGUUAGCGGCGGACGGGUGAGUAACACGUGGAUAACCUACCUAUAAGACUGGGAUAACUUCGGGAAACCGGAGCUAAUACCGGAUAAUAUUUUGAACCGCAUGGUUCAAAAGUGAAAGACGGUCUUGCUGUCACUUAUAGAUGGAUCCGCGCUGCAUUAGCUAGUUGGUAAGGUAACGGCUUACCAAGGCAACGAUGCAUAGCCGACCUGAGAGGGUGAUCGGCCACACUGGAACUGAGACACGGUCCAGACUCCUACGGGAGGCAGCAGUAGGGAAUCUUCCGCAAUGGGCGAAAGCCUGACGGAGCAACGCCGCGUGAGUGAUGAAGGUCUUCGGAUCGUAAAACUCUGUUAUUAGGGAAGAACAUAUGUGUAAGUAACUGUGCACAUCUUGACGGUACCUAAUCAGAAAGCCACGGCUAACUACGUGCCAGCAGCCGCGGUAAUACGUAGGUGGCAAGCGUUAUCCGGAAUUAUUGGGCGUAAAGCGCGCGUAGGCGGUUUUUUAAGUCUGAUGUGAAAGCCCACGGCUCAACCGUGGAGGGUCAUUGGAAACUGGAAAACUUGAGUGCAGAAGAGGAAAGUGGAAUUCCAUGUGUAGCGGUGAAAUGCGCAGAGAUAUGGAGGAACACCAGUGGCGAAGGCGACUUUCUGGUCUGUAACUGACGCUGAUGUGCGAAAGCGUGGGGAUCAAACAGGAUUAGAUACCCUGGUAGUCCACGCCGUAAACGAUGAGUGCUAAGUGUUAGGGGGUUUCCGCCCCUUAGUGCUGCAGCUAACGCAUUAAGCACUCCGCCUGGGGAGUACGACCGCAAGGUUGAAACUCAAAGGAAUUGACGGGGACCCGCACAAGCGGUGGAGCAUGUGGUUUAAUUCGAAGCAACGCGAAGAACCUUACCAAAUCUUGACAUCCUUUGACAACUCUAGAGAUAGAGCCUUCCCCUUCGGGGGACAAAGUGACAGGUGGUGCAUGGUUGUCGUCAGCUCGUGUCGUGAGAUGUUGGGUUAAGUCCCGCAACGAGCGCAACCCUUAAGCUUAGUUGCCAUCAUUAAGUUGGGCACUCUAAGUUGACUGCCGGUGACAAACCGGAGGAAGGUGGGGAUGACGUCAAAUCAUCAUGCCCCUUAUGAUUUGGGCUACACACGUGCUACAAUGGACAAUACAAAGGGCAGCGAAACCGCGAGGUCAAGCAAAUCCCAUAAAGUUGUUCUCAGUUCGGAUUGUAGUCUGCAACUCGACUACAUGAAGCUGGAAUCGCUAGUAAUCGUAGAUCAGCAUGCUACGGUGAAUACGUUCCCGGGUCUUGUACACACCGCCCGUCACACCACGAGAGUUUGUAACACCCGAAGCCGGUGGAG